GUGGGGAAUUUUGGACAAUGGGCGAAAGCCUGAUCCAGCCAUGCCGCGUGCAGGAUGAAGGCCUUCGGGUUGUAAACUGCUUUUGUACGGAACGAAAAGACUCUGGUUAAUACCUGGGGUCCAUGACGGUACCGUAAGAAUAAGCACCGGCUAACUACGUGCCAGCAGCCGCGGUAAUACGUAGGGUGCAAGCGUUAACCGGAAUUACUGGGCGUAAAGCGUGCGCAGGCGGUUAUAUAAGACAGAUGUGAAAUCCCCGGGCUCAACCUGGGAACUGCAUUUGUGACUGUAUAGCUAGAGUACGGCAGAGGGGGAUGGAAUUCCGCGUGUAGCAGUGAAAUGCGUAGAUAUGCGGAGGAACACCGAUGGCGAAGGCAAUCCCCUGGGCCUGUACUGACGCUCAUGCACGAAAGCGUGGGGAGCAAACAGGAUUAGAUACCCUAGUAGUCC
This 450-nucleotide ribosomal RNA is filed under the name uncultured bacterium. Its description in RNAcentral is "partial 16S ribosomal RNA". It matches the Rfam family "Bacterial small subunit ribosomal RNA", at positions 354 to 796 of the family's 1533-position model. The record is from RNAcentral.